This 448-nucleotide ribosomal RNA is filed under the name uncultured bacterium. RNAcentral describes it as "bacterial SSU rRNA". It matches the Rfam family "Bacterial small subunit ribosomal RNA", at positions 355 to 825 of the family's 1533-position model. The record is from RNAcentral.
CAGGGAAUCUUGCACAAUGGGCGAAAGCCUGAUGCAGCGACGCCGCGUGGGGGAUGAAGGCCUUAGGGUCGUAAACCCCUUUCAGCAGGGACGAAAAUGACGGUACCUGCAGAAGAAGCCCCGGCCAACUACGUGCCAGCAGCCGCGGUAAGACGUAGGGGGCGAGCGUUGUCCGGAUUUAUUGGGCGUAAAGAGCUCGUAGGCGGUUGCGUAAGUCGGAUGUGAAAACUCAGGGCUCAACCCUGAGACGCCAUCCGAUACUGCGCUGACUUGAAUCCAGUAGGGGAGUGUGGAAUUCCUGGUGUAGCGGUGAAAUGCGCAGAUAUCAGGAGGAACACCCAUGGCGAAGGCAGCACUCUGGGCUGGUAUUGACGCUGAGGAGCGAAAGCAUGGGUAGCAAACGGGAUUAGAUACCCCCGUAGUCCCUGAGCGGGCUGGCAAGGCGCAU